UAACGAAUAUUCCGCAAUGCGCGAAAGCGUGACGGAGCAAUGCCGCGUGCAGGAUGAAGCCCCUCGGGGUGUAAACUGCUGUCAGGGGCUAGAAACUCAAUGAUCAGCCCCAGAGGAAGAGCCGGCUAACUCUGUGCCAGCAGCCGCGGUAAUACAGAGGGCUCAAGCGUUAAUCGGUAUCACUGGGCUUAAGGGGUGCGUAGGCGGGCGUGUAAGUGUCUUGUGAAAUCCCACGGCUCAACCGUGGAACUGCGGGGCAAACUGCACGUCUUGAGGUCGACAGAGGCUGCCGGAACUCUAGGUGUAGCGGUGAAAUGCGUAGAUAUCUAGAGGAACGCCAAAGGUGAAGACAGGCAGCUGGGUCGAAUCUGACGCUGAGGCACGAAAGCGUGGGUAGCAAACAGGAUUAGAUACCCUGGUAGUCCACGCCCUAAACGAUGGGUACUAGACGUCGGGAAGCUUGUCUUCUUGGUGUCGCAGCUAACGCAAUAAGUACCCCGCCUGGGGAGUACGGUCGCAAGGUUA
RNAcentral lists this ribosomal RNA (525 nucleotides) under uncultured bacterium. RNAcentral's name for it is "bacterial SSU rRNA". It matches the Rfam family "Bacterial small subunit ribosomal RNA", at positions 355 to 896 of the family's 1533-position model. The record is from RNAcentral.